AGAUUGAACGCUGGCGGCAGGCCUAACACAUGCAAGUCGAGCGGUAGAGAGGUGCUUGCACCUCUUGAGAGCGGCGGACGGGUGAGUAAUGCCUAGGAAUCUGCCUAGUGGUGGGGGAUAACGUUCGGAAACGGACGCUAAUACCGCAUACGUCCUACGGGAGAAACGCGGGGACCUUCGGGCCUCGCGCCAUUAGAUGAGCCGUAGGUCGGACUAGCUAGUUGUGAGGUAAUGGCUCACCAAGGCGACGAUCCGUAACUGGUACUGAGAGGAUGAUCAGUCACACUGGAACUGAGACGACGGUCCAGUACUCCGUACGGGGAGACAGCGAAGGUGGGGAAUAGUUAGGACAAGUGGGACGAAAGCCUGGACUCCGAGCCAUGCCGCGUGU
RNAcentral lists this ribosomal RNA (391 nucleotides) under uncultured soil bacterium. Its description in RNAcentral is "bacterial SSU rRNA". It matches the Rfam family "Bacterial small subunit ribosomal RNA", at positions 26 to 404 of the family's 1533-position model. The record is from RNAcentral.